This is a non-coding RNA of Oryza sativa Japonica Group (Japanese rice), 6047 nucleotides long. Lineage: Eukaryota; Viridiplantae; Streptophyta; Magnoliopsida; Poales; Poaceae. The record is from RefSeq and is a predicted model, not a curated record.
UUUAGUGAAAAAUAUGGCGCCAUAAAUAUAGCUAUUUUUUUUAAAGUUGUAGCUCCUUUGAGUAAAGGCCGGGAUGUUAUCUAUUGCAUUUAAAAACAACGUGAUUUUUUUCAACAAUCUUCAAAUUUGACGGUGAUUAUAUUUUUUCCUUUUCUUUUUUUGGAAAAUUAGAUGUGGUUUAAUCCGUGAAAGAACAAAUGGGCCACAUAAGCCCAAACCUGGGCUAUCACAAAUGCCACCGGAAUAAGUUCACUUUGGGUCCCUCUAUUUGUCGCCCAGUCCGAUUUUCGUCCCUUGAUCGCAAAACCGGGUACGACAGGUCCUCCAACUUACGAAACCGUUUAAAUAAGGUCUCUCGGCAGUAUUUGACCCCGGUUUUAGCUGAGGUGGCGCCUACGUGGCUAAUUUGACUCGGUCUUUAUCUGACGUGGCAUUGACGUGGUGAUUACGUGGCAAUUCAAUCAAAAAAUAAUAAAUCCUAUGGGACCCACAUGUCAGUUUCACACCCACAAUAAUAGAAAAUUGGUGGGGCCCACGUGGACCCCGCCUGUCAUCUUCACUACCCCUUAUCUCUAUCCCCCUCUCUCUAUCGUCUCUCUCCUUCUCUCUAUCCCCCACUGCUCCCCAUCGUCAUUGUUGCUCUCCUCUCCGUCUUCCUCCGUGGCGGGCGGCGGCCGGAGCGACCGGCCGGCGGAGCGGGCGACGAGCGGGGCGGAGAGGCCCUCCACCAUCGCCACGACCUCACCGCCUGCCUGCUCCCCCUUCGCGCAGCUCCGCGCCCAUUCAGUGAGCUGCUCUGAUGACGCUGGAGUCCGCGCCGGUGCGAAGAGCCCGGCAGCCGGCGUGCGGAGGCGAGGUGCGCUCCUCCGCCGAGGCCGUUGGUGGUAGGCUGAGGUGGCCGGGCUGUCACCGUGCUCGUGAACGAUGGUUAAGGAAAAAAGUGGAAAAGUAUGUGUUUAUUUAGCCGGUAAUUAAUUAACAGAGCUAACCAAAAUCACCAGGUUGCUUCUGGUGGCCGCCGAGAUUUCAUGCAGCAUUUCGCCGACGAGAAUUUAGCCAUGGCGGCGCCGCCGCCGACGGCCCGCGGCGAGCCGGCUGUUGAUGGGCGAUGCCGCUUCUGCCAUGGAGAUCCGCCCGCCGCUGCCUCCCGCCGGCGAGUGGCGACAUCUCUGGCGCCACCGCGUGGCGCCGAACUACUGCUGCACCCCUCCGCCCACGUGCACGGCUCUGAACUCCGCGCGGGGUCUGCGCCGGCGCCGCGGACGAAGACGAGGAGUAGCUUCUAGGGGCGGGCGGCGCCCCCCACGCGGAGCCCCUCCCCCCAGCGCUCCCGCCGCCGACACCCAGCCUUCUCCCGUGUCGUCGUUGUCGCGUCGUCGGCCACCACUGCCGGACCUCCUUGUGACGCCGUGGAGAGGGAGGGAGGAGGAAGAAGAGAAGGGUGAGAAUGACAUGUGGGGCCUACGUGGGCCCCAUCAUUUUUAUUAAUUUGUGCGUUAAACUAACAUGUGGGUCCCAUGUGGAUUAAUAUUUUUCUACAUCGAAUUGCCAUGUCAAUGCCACGUCAGAUGAAGACUGAGUCAAAUUAGUCACAUAGGCGUCGCGUCGGCCAAAACCGCCCUCUAUACUGCCGAGGGACCUGUCCGGUUUUCGUAAGUUGGGGGACGGGUCAUACCCGUUUUCGUGGUUCAGGAUGAAAAUCGGACUGAGCGACAAAUAGAGGGACCCAAAGUGAACUUAUUCCAAUGCCACCAUAGAACAAGGCCCAAAACACAACACAACCAUCGGUUCACGCUCAUCGUGUGGGACCCACCUGUCCGCCGCACAGUGCCCCUCCGCGCCGCCCUCUGUUUUGCCGCCGGGAAAACCUCCGCCUCCGCCUCCGCCGCCGGGGAGUUCGCGAUCCGAUGGCUGGAUCGGGAUCGCUCCUCCCGCCGCGCUGAAGGCGCGGGCUCGGCGAGGCGCAUCCGUCUUAGAAGCUGAACAUCUUCAAGCAAAGCAGAACACCAUUAGUACUGACAUAAGGGAAAAAGGUGCAAAUAGAAGAUGUCUCAAGGUUAAUAAAUUUUUUAGUAAUAUUGCAUUUGGAAAAAAUAUUAGAUUCUAUUGACAGUUGCUGAACAUAUCUGUGGCUGUUAUUGAUUUAUUUGUUCUGCACUUAUACUAAAUCAAAGUACUAUACCAAAGAAAGGAUCAAAAUUUAAUUAUCACUUAUGAAGGAUGUAGUAGGACCAAAUUAAAGGUGACCUCCUUUACUUAUUCUUUGCUUAUUUUAGUGCACAUAUGUUCAGUUAAACACUGGUACAUCGACAGUAGCAGAAAUCUCUACUAGCACUUAUGCUCACCUACUGUGUACCUUCAGGCUUCAGGAUCUCCUGUUACCUUUACUUUAAGGAGCUUUUCUUUGUGUCUUCUUUUUUAUUAUUUGUUAAUGACAAAUGUCAACUAAAUUACAUGCUACGUUGUGAUCAAUGGGGUUCCUUCUUACACUGUUAGAGACAAUGAAAGCUUGCAAACGUGAGGUAUCUUCCAUGACCAGAGUCCACUAACUAGUAAUGCGGAUUAAUUGAAGGAUUCUAUCAUUCUAGUGGCAGAUUAAAAAUUAAGGAUUUUAGUAGAAGUCUCACCAUUAUCCUCUUGGCAUCUGUAACCUUCUUGAAAGAUCCUGUUCCAGAUUGUUUCAAGUUUCCUCGGCCAUCAAGUAAGCCAAACCUGAUCAAUAUUUCCUUUGACCAAGCAACUCGAAUUUUGGGAUUCUUGUGAUACAGUAUAUGGCGCUUCCCUUUCAUUACAAAAUUGUUUUACUUUAUUAAAUAGAAAAAAGUAUCUAGUUACUGACCAAAAUCUGCCUUUGAUGCAUGCCUUUGAUUAAUUAUUUGUAAUUACACAAGUCGCCACAAUCACAAGAUGCCUUCUAAUAAUAUCCAUAGAUUGUGGUUAUGAGCACCCCCAGCCUUCUAAGAUGCUGUUAGUGCUGCUAAUUUCCAGCUUUUCCUUAUCCCCCACUAGGCACACAAAGCUAAUGUCGCCAUCUGCUUGAUCCAGAGCAUCUUGAGCAUGAUCUUCCUUUGUUGGACUCUGCCUUAGCCCAUUGAAAUAAUAGCCAUUAAAAGUCCAAAGGACUUUUUACAUGGAUUUAUUCUCACAGAAAGAGCAUCAAGAAGGGGAAAGGAAGAUUUAGAGUACAGGAAUGAUCGGUGUGCCUACGAUGAGGACUGAAAUAUUAACUAGUCAAUAAAACUAUAAUGUGAUAAGGGAAUCUUUGAAGUUCUCAAUUAGAAAAUUGAUGACUUGGGUUGAGCACCUUGAGGUUUUUGCUCCAGUCCAUUCAUAUCACAUAAAGGUAGUAGUAGAUUACGUGGUUUGUGCUAUGAAAAGAGUAGGUCAAGGGAUAAAGCCUCUUCAUAGGGUUCAAUGUAUGUACAGCCAAGAAGACAUGCUCUUAAGUUGGAUGUUUCCAUAGGUUUGUGCUCUCUCUUUGGACCAUGUUCAGCAUUGUUUAUGAUGUUACAUGUAUGCUAUUUAGCUAGGUGAGGUCUACAAAUUGAGCACUGCCUUUUUGACAAAUGCGCUGUCCAUUUCAUCCAAAAUUUGCUGCUCCUUGUGUCUAUCGAAUGAUGGAUGCCUUUACUGUUGUAGCAUAGAGUUGAAUUGAUUGUUUUAGGGGGACCAAGACUACAAUUUGACACAAUACUAUUAUAUUGCUCGAUGGUGCUAAACCAGCAAACUUAAGAUGCACCGUGCAACUUGUGUUUGCUUCUAGGAAAUGCCUGCUGCUCUGUUUUUCUUUUCUCCUUGAUGAUUACUGAGUUAUUCCCUUCUGGAACCAUAUCUUAAUCUCUCUGUUUGAUGAACAAUAUAUAUCUUUUUUGAGGGAACAACAGAAUGCCUGCUAUUUCUUAGUUAGAGUGGGAUUUGACCAGCAAUAUUAUUGAAGUUUUCAUUUGCCACUUUUGCUUGCGUUGUUUGGGAAAAGAACAAAUCCUUUGUGCCCUUAAUGGGAGAAGAAUUCUGAAAUUCCUUCAGGGCAGGACAAAUCUGAAUGCUUAAAGCUACUCAUUUUCGUUUCUGUCCUGCCCCACAACUGAAGCCUGAUGGUUGGGUCCAGCAGUCACACGACGCCAACAUGGCUACAUUCCAAUUCAGAGGCUGCUAGGUUAUUUACUAGAGUACUAAAAGCCACAUCUUGUAGAUUUUUUUUUUAAAAAAAGCAAAGGCCAGACCUUUCUAGAUCCCGGUGAGAAGAAAAAAGAAUGGAAAAUAAAAGGAAUAAAAGGUUUGGUGUAUUUUCUUCCAGAAGAAUAACAGUGUACCAGCAGUUUGAGAAUAUUCAAGUCUUAAACUAACCCAUGACCGUCUUUGUUUUCCAGAAAACAGGCAGACAAGUUCAGGAGAAACUUACUGGCAGGAGCAUAUGUUUAUGUCCAUAGAAGCAAGAUCUUGGGUUGCUUUGCUCCAUGCUUAAGUCUUGUCUUCAAAAAUCCAAAAUCCGGUUGACUUUAUAUUGUUACAAAAAGAAAUAGCCAGUGCCAGGUGUUCCAGUUGGGAUCUUCUGUGGAGAUGAGAGGCAGCAACAGGAGAGAGUAGCAGAUUCCUUUGUUGUUCUGCCCACAAGAGAGAACUCACAACUCACAAGUAGUAGCAGUAACAACAUCAGCAGCAGGUACUACUAGACCCACACACAUGCAAGCACAGAUAUGAGUAUAUGAUCUUUCUCCCAUGCCACAAGUGAAAAGAUUUCUCCCUCUCCAUUAUCCUUUGUUUCCUUUUGCCUUUUGUAUUGUUCUGAAUGCAUGCUGCUAGCUACUCCAGCUACUGGUUGCUCUCUCUACACAUGUGUGUAUACAACUACACAUACUAUGCUUAUUUGUACAAAAUUUUGUGCAGGGUUGGAAGCAAGGGAUCUCUGCAUGCUGUGGUUGCAUGACACAGAUGCACAUGUCCCUUUUGGUGGGUAAUGAUGGGGUGCAGGUGGAGGUGAUGAUAGAUUGCCUCAUCUGGGGACUGAGACAUUCCAUCCAAGGGUGCCCAAUGCCAUGCCCUCACAUUCACUCACAGCUAGUAGAGCUAUCCCCCUCCCCUCCCCUCUUUGCAAUAUUCCAUUUGUUUGCUAAUGUGUUGUAUCAAGAUGCCCUUGAUGUGAGUGUUCACUGCCCUCUCUGUCCCUCAUUUUUUGCAUCUCUCAUUCUCAUGCAUUGCAUACCAUGUACAACUACUGCUUCAGCUAGAAUUGCAUGUGAUGUAUAUAUAUGAUAGUAUAUCCUUUGCAUCUCGGGAAAAUAUGUAGUGCAAAUCACAUAUAUAGUGGAAACUUGAAAACUACCGUUGAAUCGAGAAAUGGACGUCCGAGAUUCGUCCACGUCAUCAUGAGUUAAAAUUUAACUCGCAGAUUCACUCAUGAGUUAAAAUUUUACUCGGAGUUAAAUUUUAACUCAUGAUGACGUAAACGAAUCUCGGACGUCCAUUUCUCGAUCCAAUGGUAGUUUUCAAGUUUUCACUACAUAUGUGGUUUGUACUGUAUAUUUUCCCUUGCAUCUCCAUGUAUCUCAAAAGUUACAUGAGUGGCACUUGCUACUGUGCAUGUAGUAUGUGUAGCAGCUAGGUUAUAAAUUUCUUUAUGUGUAACAUGUGUGUGAUGCAUAGUAUAUGCAAUGUGAAACACUGACACAGCUAGACCAGGUGUGGGGGGUGUGCUUGUUCUUGUUGCAAGGAAGUUAUCUGGAGGCCAUCAUCAAUGAAGAUCCCACCAAGGGACAAAACAUGAGAUGGUUGGAGACUUGGGUCUGUCUAGUCUCUAUUCAACCAUUUAAAGCAUUGCGUGUGUAGGCUACACUCGGAGAGAGAACACAGAGCAGCCGUCCAAACCGUCUGAAAUGAUAACUUACUCUAAGCUAGUAGGAGUGCUAGUAGUACCCUCUAUAUGUGCAAUUUUAUUCGUUAAAAAGGUUUCCAUGCAUGCUUUUUUAGUUUAUCAAUAGCCUAAACCUUUUGAAUUAUUAAGAGUUAAUUAGUCCCAAGUGUGUAUGAUUACUCCCCCAAAUUCUCUU